RNAcentral lists this ribosomal RNA (492 nucleotides) under uncultured bacterium. Its description in RNAcentral is "partial 16S ribosomal RNA". It matches the Rfam family "Bacterial small subunit ribosomal RNA", at positions 29 to 507 of the family's 1533-position model. The record is from RNAcentral.
AGUGAACGCUGGCGGUAGGCCUAACACAUGCAAGUCGAACGGCAGCACAGUAAGAGCUUGCUCUUACGGGUGGCGAGUGGCGGACGGGUGAGGAAUACAUCGGAAUCUACUUUUUCGUGGGGGAUAACGUAGGGAAACUUACGCUAAUACCGCAUACGACCUACGGGUGAAAGCAGGGGAUCUUCGGACCUUGCGCGAUUGAAUGAGCCGAUGUCGGAUUAGCUAGUUGGCGGGGUAAAGGCCCACCAAGGCGACGAUCCGUAGCUGGUCUGAGAGGAUGAUCAGCCACACUGGAACUGAGACACGGUCCAGACUCCUACGGGAGGCAGCAGUGGGGAAUAUUGGACAAUGGGCGCAAGCAUGAUACAGCCAUACCGCGUGGGUGAAGAAGGCCUUCGGGUUGUAAAGCCCUUUUGUUGGGAAAGAAAAGCAGCAGGUUAAUACCCCGCUGUUCUGACGGUACCCAAAGAAUAAGCACCGGCUAACUUCGUG